AACAGUUUGAGAGUGAAGCCAUGUUGCAUUUUAUUUUGUACAAAGUAUUGCUGUGAAAAGCUAUUGCGUGUAAUGAAUUCCAAGCCAUAGCUAAAGAAGAAAGUGCUCAGAAGUCAUCUCUUUUCUGGUGAAAAGAAGUCCAGGCAACUUUUAAACAUUGCGCCAACAGAACCCAUAAAUAAACUAAUCUUUCACUUGUC
Chiloscyllium plagiosum (whitespotted bambooshark) is the source of this 200-nucleotide non-coding RNA. NCBI's taxonomy places the organism in Eukaryota, Metazoa, Chordata, Chondrichthyes, Orectolobiformes, Hemiscylliidae. The record is from RefSeq and is a predicted model, not a curated record.